GUACACACCGCCCGUCGCUCCUACCGAUUGGGUGUGCUGGUGAAGUGUUCGGAUUGGUGCAAUUGGUGGGCAACCACUGGCUGCGCCGAGAAGAUCAUUAAACCCUCCCACCUAGAGGAAGGAGAAGUCGUAACAAGGUUUCCGUAGGUGAACCUGCAGAAGGAUCA
Molecule: ribosomal RNA, 167 nt
Filed under: uncultured eukaryote
Lineage: Eukaryota
Description: partial small subunit ribosomal RNA
Rfam family: Eukaryotic small subunit ribosomal RNA
Source: RNAcentral